UGUAACCUCCCUGUGCUGGGCUUGUUUUCAGUUGCCUGCGGCUGAUUAAUAGGGACUCAGGCAGCUAAAGCAAGUCUGAUACAUGAAAGGAGAACC
MicroRNA precursor from Anolis carolinensis (green anole), 96 nucleotides. Ensembl annotates it as aca-mir-1788. The record is from Ensembl. NCBI's taxonomy places the organism in Eukaryota, Metazoa, Chordata, Lepidosauria, Squamata, Anolidae.